GUUGGUGAACCAGCGGAGGGAUCAUUACUGAGUGCAAACUCUCCAACCAUUGUUUAUCUACCUAUUUUUUGCUUCUCCGGCAGGCGGUUCCAGGGAGGGACCGAGCCCAUGGCCUUAGCCUAAGCACCUGCCGAAGGAGUACCAACUGCUCUAUAUUAUACUGUCUGAGAAAACAAAAAAAAUAUUAAAAUUUUCAAUUGUGGAUCUCUUGGUUCUG
This 217-nucleotide unclassified non-coding RNA is filed under the name rhizosphere metagenome. Its description in RNAcentral is "partial ribosomal RNA internal transcribed spacer region". The record is from RNAcentral.